Long non-coding RNA from Cyprinodon tularosa, 516 nucleotides. RefSeq lists it as uncharacterized. The transcript has 3 exons. Lineage: Eukaryota; Metazoa; Chordata; Actinopteri; Cyprinodontiformes; Cyprinodontidae. The record is from RefSeq and is a predicted model, not a curated record.
GUGACCCUUCAACUGAAAAAUCAUCCCAGCUUGUCAUCGUGUAGGCAACACCGACUCGGAGGGAUUUGUUUAAAAGACUUACUGAUACGAGACUCCAAACUCUCCGUAUCGGGCGGCGCAGCCAUCACUGCGAGAUGUACGUAAGGUUACGUCGAGCAAAGACGGAAGUGACGUAGGAGUGGUUGCAGAGUGUGAAGGAACUAAUUCCCUUGUAGGCAAUGACUCACUGCCUUAAGGACAAACCUCUGUUAUUUCACAAAACAUGGGAUCCAUUCUUAGAUUACAUUGGCAUAGAGAGUGAAUGGACUAUACAGAAGGGACUCUAUGGACUUUUCUGGUCUAAGAUUCCUCGAGGGAACUAUACUUGAGAGUGUAUUCAACCAGUUAUUAUAGUGAAACUGUAAUGCCUGGAUAUCUGCUUAUGUAUCCUUUUAAUUGAUUAAAUAAUCUGAGCUUUAAUGUUGUUACAUGUUUUUGUAUUGUUUUUUUUUUUCUUUCUGUACUAGCUAUGUUAUU